UACGGAGGGUGCUAGCGUUGUUCGGAAUUACUGGGCGUAAAGGGCGCGUAGGCGGCCGUUUGCGUCGGAUGUGAAAGCCCGGGGCUCAACCUCGGAGCGGCAUUCGAUACGGGACGGCUGGAGACCGGGAGGGGAGAGUGGAAUAGCCAGUGUAGAGGUGAAAUUCGUAGAUAUUGGCUGGAACACCGGUGGCGAAAGCGGCUCUCUGGCCCGGUUCUGACGCUGAGGCGCGAAAGCGUGGGGAGCAAACAGG
Molecule: ribosomal RNA, 253 nt
Filed under: uncultured bacterium
Lineage: Bacteria
Description: partial 16S ribosomal RNA
Rfam family: Bacterial small subunit ribosomal RNA
Source: RNAcentral